CAGGAAGGUCAUUGUAUUGGCUCGGGGUGAGGGUUCUAAGCAGGAAGGUCUUUGUGUCAUUGUAUUGGCUCGGGGUGAGGGUUCUAAACAGGAAGGUCUUAGUGUCAUUGUAUUGGCUCGGGGUGAGUGUUCUAAACAGGAAGGUCUUUGUAUCAUUGUAUUGGCUCGGGGUGAGUGUUCUAAACAGGAAGGUCUUUGUAUCAUUGUAUUGGCUCGGGGUGAGGGUUCUAAACAGGAAGGUCUUUGUGUCAUUGUAUUGGCUUGGGGUGAGUGUUCUAAACAGGAAGGUCUUUGUAUCAUUGUAUUGGCUCGGGGUGAGUGUUCUAAACAGGAAGGUCUUAGUAUCAUUGUAUUGGCUCGGGGUGAGGGUUCUAAGCAGGAAGGUCUUUGUAUCAUUGUAUUGGCUCGGGGUGAGGGUUCUAAACAGGAAGGUCUUAGUGUCAUUGUAUUGGCUCGGGGUGAGUGUUCUAAACAGGAAGGUCUUUGUAUCAUUGUAUUGGCUCGGGGUGAGUGUUCUAAACAGGAAGGUCUUAGUGUCAUUGUAUUGGCUCGGGGUGAGGGUUCUAAACAGGAAGGUCUUUGUGUCAUUGUAUUGGCUCGGGGUGAGGGUUCUAAACAGGAAGGUCUUAGUGUCAUUGUAUUGGCUCGGGGUGAGGGUUCUAAACAGGAAGGUCUUUGUAUGGAUUGUAUUGGCUCGGGGUGAGGGUUCUAAACAGGAAGGGGUGGUGAUUUCUCCUGUAUUCUCUUCUUUCAGUGGGUUGCCUAAACCCCACCCCAUAGGCCCCUAUAUUCAAAUAAUGAAGAAAAACUGAGAUGGUAUGACAUGGUGUAAUAAUCACAAGAUCAUAAAGUCAGAGGCUUGUCAUAAUUAUUACACGGUUUGAUAACGCCAGAGGAAAUGAGCCCCUGGCCAUAGUUGUAAUGAGUACGCUGAGAGUCGGGAAGCAAGUUCAGGGAGUGAAUAAAUGUAAUAAAUAAAUGAACAAAACAAGAAACACAAACAGC
RNAcentral lists this long non-coding RNA (1005 nucleotides) under Salmo salar (Atlantic salmon). RNAcentral's name for it is "lncRNA (ENSSSAG00000098145.1)". Lineage: Eukaryota; Metazoa; Chordata; Actinopteri; Salmoniformes; Salmonidae. The record is from RNAcentral.